RNAcentral lists this long non-coding RNA (225 nucleotides) under Vitis vinifera (wine grape). Its description in RNAcentral is "long non-coding RNA (VVIN_LNC006196)". The record is from RNAcentral. Lineage: Eukaryota; Viridiplantae; Streptophyta; Magnoliopsida; Vitales; Vitaceae.
CAAGAUUUAGUCCACUUAAAAUGAGUGGGGUGUAUGGGCUUUGUCACUAAGACAUGGCCCAGUAUGGUUUUUUGCCAUGGCCUAUGGUAUUUUAUAAGUUUUUAUUCAUUAAGGUCUUAUUAUGCCUGCAAAAUGAUGGGACAAUUUGAACCGUUCGGUUCAUUUAGAACCGUCCGGUUCCACCGGUUCAUCGGUCCGACUGCUGGUUUAGGCGGUUUGUGAUUG